This 433-nucleotide ribosomal RNA is filed under the name Alexia pilifera. RNAcentral describes it as "partial 16S ribosomal RNA". The record is from RNAcentral. Lineage: Eukaryota; Metazoa; Arthropoda; Insecta; Coleoptera; Alexiidae.
GUCCUUUUGAAUAUAAUUUAAGGUCUAACCUGCCCACUGAUUUUUUAAAUGGCCGCAGUAUUUUGACUGUGCAAAGGUAGCAUAAUAAUUAGUUUUUUAAUUGAAAGCUGGAAUGAAUGGUUGGAUAAGAAAAUUACUGUCUCAAUUUAAUUUUAUUAGAAUUUUAUUUUUAAGUUAAAAAGCUUAAAUUUUAUUAAAAGACGAGAAGACCCUAUAGAGUUUAAUAUUAUACAAUAAAUUUUUUAUUAGAAUUUAAUAAUUUUUUAUUUUAAUAGUAUUUUGUUGGGGUGACAGAAAAAUUUAAUAAACUUUUUCUUUAUAAAUACAUAAAUUUAUGAUUUUUUGAUCCAUUUUAAUGAUUAUAAGAAAAAAUUACCUUAGGGAUAACAGCGUAAUUUUUUUUGAGAGUUCUAAUCGAAAAAAAAGAUUGCGA